Oncorhynchus tshawytscha (Chinook salmon) is the source of this 443-nucleotide long non-coding RNA. NCBI's taxonomy places the organism in Eukaryota, Metazoa, Chordata, Actinopteri, Salmoniformes, Salmonidae. The record is from Ensembl.
GUACUAUGGUCAGUACUAUGGUCAGUACUAUGGUCAGUACUAUGGUCAGUACUAUGGUCAGUACUAUGGUCAGUACUAUGGUCGUACUAUGUUGCCACUGUUCUGUUCCUCCUAUAUGAACAUCUUCCAGAAACCCUGAAAUACCUGCUAACGUACUUAUGGAAAGACUAGUACUACUGUUGACCCAAAGCUGUGAUUGAAUGUACAUUGUAAUGAAUGUUAUUACGAUGAUAAAUAUAAUGGAUGAUGAUUCCAGGUGGUCUAUAUAUCCUGAUCCCAGAUCUGUUCACCGGCUAUGCUGUCUUACCUACUCCAAUAGUUUUUUCUCCCAUUGUCACACCAGCACAAACAGAUCUGGGACCAGGCUAUGUGUAAUAGGGGUAAGACACCCAUCAACUACAGAAACCUGCUGCGUUUAUAGCCUGAGUGCCAGUCUGUGCCAG